Astatotilapia calliptera (eastern happy) is the source of this 2131-nucleotide long non-coding RNA. The record is from Ensembl. Lineage: Eukaryota; Metazoa; Chordata; Actinopteri; Cichliformes; Cichlidae.
CAAAAGCUACAUCCUUGGUCACAAAGAGGGUAGUCUCCCCCACCCUAGAUGGUUCACCCUAGAUAACACGGUGAGGAAGUCCAGCAGUUAAAACACUUAGACUAGAACAGACGUAGCUACGUUAAUCCUACCAUAAAACAAUAAAACAAGGUACGAACUCUCAUGCUCCUAGGAUGUGGGGGUGAACACCCUAGAAUGUUACAGACCUCCUAGGAUGAGACAUCCUUUCAAUAUGCCACCAACUAUAUACUUCUACAUACAAAUAAUUACAUGCAGCAUUCUACCAUAUGCAAACUUAUAUCAUUAAAAGAUUAUACUGACUACUAAGUACAAUUUUCCAUUGACAGGCUUAAUAAAGAAACAAAAGAAAAAAAAACUCUAAAUCUGUAAAAAUGCUCACACACAAGGAUUGGAGUGAAAACGAGUGAAAAAGCAGCCAGUGUCGUCGUUCCCCCCCCCCCCCCCCCCCCCACGUCUGGCUCCUUGAGGCAAAAUAUAAAGAAAUGAGGGUGGUUCAAGACUUUUGCAUUACUGUGAAGCAGGCUACACCGAUAAGGCAUAACAUUAUGACCAAUGACAGGUGAAGUGAAUAACACUCAUUAUCUCUUCAUCAUGGCACCUUUUAGUAGGGUCAAGGACCAACAAGGACCUAAUUUUCAACUUCCUUAUUCAGAAGGACAGUCGAAUGAGGAAGUCGUUUUCAUGGUUCUGUUAAAGGAAGAGAGCUGCUCUUAAGUACGGAGGUGUGAUGUCAUCUCAAGUCCCGUACAUAUACUGAGCUCUGCCGACUCCAAGCCCAGACAGAGACGGAGCAAGAGGGAAACACGCCGGGCUGCUCCAAGGAUAUCACGCACAUACUGAUUCAUGCAGAUGGGAGAACCGACACACCGUAUUCAGAUCUGCAGUGACAGCUCUGCUUAAUCAAGUUAAAAGGCAUCACACAGGAAGGCUUUCAUUUAUCAAAUCAUCAGUGUGAAGACGCCCUGUGGCCAAAUCAAAGUGCCACCAGUUCGAAGAGCACGUCACCAGAUGAACUGUUUCUUCUGAAAUGAGUGCGAUUUGCUGGAGAGAAAGAAGCUCACUGACUCAUCUCUGUGUCUGACUUCUCUCUGUGAACUCUUCUUUUUUUCCCCCUUUCCAAAAGCAACUGCAGUAAAUAUUUACAUGCCGUGUCUGGCAGCUGUAUGAGAUGGAGAACACCAAUUAUGAUUCUGGCUUUUUGCUUCGUGGUUAAGCCUUUCGAGCCUUGCAGGCAGGGUUGCAUGUGAAUCUGUUGUGUAUCUGUGCGGUGCAUGCAGCUUGACAAGUAGCUUCACUUUUGGUUUUACGUCAUUUUUUGGCGAACCACCCUUUUUGCCACUUAUCUAUUUUUUUUCACUGCCUUUUAUAGAAGAAAAUACUGAUUCACAUUCUUGGGAAACAAGCAUAGGGGUUUACAGUGACGCUGAUGGUGUUUUACACUCAUUAGCAGAAAUUCGAUACUCGAGAGCUCCUCUUCAGAAACAUGACAUAGAAUAACUAUUCAAAUGUAUUUAACACUGCAAAUUCAUUUUGCAUUUUACCUGCAUAAUUUAUGAUGAUGAUAGUAUUUAUAUUUUUAUGCCAAAACCUGAACAAAAAAAAUACACCGUGCACUUUGAAGGCAGAAAAAACACGGGAACCAAGACAAGGCAUGGAAAUGAUUGAUGUUGAUACGUCUUAGGUCCUGUCUGCACCUGCCAAGUGUGUUGGUGAGUAAGUCACUAUUUACCCUGAGACCUGCGUUCUUGUAUAGAGUCACUGUGCAUAUCUGUGUAAUCUGUCCCCUCCACUGUUUGGAAACACCAUGGGCUGUGCCAUGUGUAUGCAUCUGGUUGACAUGUGGACUGUGAGGGUGAGCAGGACUGGCCGCAGGGCUAUGGAGCUCACCGCCUAUCCGCAGAUGCUCCAGGGAGACUACCAUAGAGUGACGGGCCUCCACUACAUGUCGUCCUUCUCUGAUGCCGAGGACUGCUGCGACGACACCAGCUCAGGCAGCUCAAUCACGCUGGACUGGCAGACACAAGGAACAGGCGGCUGACCCUCAUCCAAGAAGUGUUAUAAUCCAAACAUGUAAAUAAACGUGGAUUCGUGCACAGAAAAUGUGUAUUUA